RNAcentral lists this long non-coding RNA (7010 nucleotides) under Arabidopsis thaliana (thale cress). Lineage: Eukaryota; Viridiplantae; Streptophyta; Magnoliopsida; Brassicales; Brassicaceae. The record is from RNAcentral.
AAACAUUACCAAGAAGGAAGACGAAGAGCAAAGAAAAGUUUAGACAAAAACCUCUUUCGAUAUAUUUUCUGCUACACAAAAAGCAAUUUUUCAGAAAUGGCUUCUACAAAGGCUGAUCAGUUUCUCGAGCUUGUUGCCGAACUCGAUCGUGUUAAUACAUCAACGAAUGUUGAUAAAGAUCAAGUCAAGGUAAGUGUUUGUGUUAAUGCUCUAAUAACUUUAUAUGUUUCUCGUCUUUUUCAAUUCUUCUGUACACAAAAAAAAACAAUAAUUAGUUUGUUUGUUUUACUAUAAAAUUCAGGAUUUGGAAAAGAGGUUGAUCCCUUACGUUGAAAAAAACGAAGAUGUCAUUACCAAAUAUCGAAAAGUUUUUCUACGUCUAAAGAUGGAAAAAAUACAGGAUAUGAUCAAGAGAAUCGAUAUUGACAAUAUGCUCAACCCAGCUUCCUCGUCACAGAAGAUCUCACGUUCUAUGGAUAGGAAGAAUUGGUAAUAUAUGUAUUUAUGAUGAUCAUAACCAUUAUGGAUCAUAUAUUAUCAAAUUCUCGUUUAUUUCUUCCUUCAAAGCUUUUAUGCAAUAUAUAAUUUGGGGUUUAUUGUUGUAAUAAUGGAGGAAGUUGUUUAUCUUUCUUUCCAAAAUACGAUUCUCAUAAUUAGUUAAUAAAUCUUAAUUAAAUUAAUAAUUUGUUUUCUUUCAUCAAUUCUCAUUACAUCUGUCUGUUGAACAAACUCCACUGUUUAACUUUUUGAUUUGCUUAUUGAACAAAAUAUUAUGUAUAUACGUCCUGAAAUGUCUUUUUAAAUGAAUUUUUCUGUAAGUUUAUUUUAAAAGAAUGUUGAUGAAUUUCAUUUUCAACACGGAAAAUUUGAAUAUGUAUCUAUUUAUAUCAAGUUUAUAUACCUUGUAUGUAUAAAACAUCAGAAUCAUCCUUCCAAUCAUGUGAAUACACAUCAGGGACAUCCUUCCAAACUUUAUAAAAUAUUUCCUUGUAUAAAAGACGGAAAAGAGUAAAAUGCGUAAUGAACAUAUGAAAUCAAGUGAACCAAAUAGUCUAAAACUUUCAAAAGCAGUUACAUUUCAGAAGUAUUCAGAUUGUAGAACCAAAUUGUGAGGAACAACGAUCAAGAAUGUUUAGGGAUCUUGAACUCCAAUUAUGAUUUUGUACUCUUCUUCACUUAAACAAUUGGGGAUCUAGAAAGCCAAUUUAUUUUCCCUUUCUCUAAAUGGAAAAUUUGGGAUUAUAAUACAAAUCUCCAUGGAACUUUAAAUCCAGUCCGUUGCAAAACAAAUUACAGUUGUUUUCAUAACAAAAUAUAUUAUAAAGUAGUAAAAUAGAUUUAUAACUUUUCAAUAAAACUGUGUACUGGAGUUUCUUAAUCGGGACAUUUGUGGUAUUACUAUUAACAAAAAAGAAAAUAAAGAUGGUGAAAAAUUAAAGCAAAGACUUUUGACGUAGAACAACACCAAUUCAUGAGUAGACAUUUAACUUAAUGCGUUUGUCACUUACUUGGCACAAUACAUUAUACAUCUGUCGAAAGGGUUUUCACUUUAUUAUCUUCUACCUCUAAAAGAAUUAUCGUCGUAAACUCUAGCAAAUACUCUUCUUCAUUUCAACAAUAUUUAUGAAAAUAAAUUAAUUUCUCAUUUCUCUUUGGCAAAUAGAGCCAAAAUUUUGGCAUUAGAUGGAGAAAAUCAAAUUCAGUCAGUUGAAAUAUUUGUGACAAAUUACUAUAAUGUUCUAGAGCUUCCUAAUCGGGACAUUGGUGGUAUUACUAUUAAUAAAAACAAAAGAUAAAAUCAAAGACCUAUGUAAAGAGCAACAUCAACACAAAAUGACAUAACUUAUAUAAGCUUACGUACCAACAUAACUUAAAUAAGCUUAUAAGAGCGUAUAUGCGUUUGAGUAACAACAUAUAUACAAUUUCAUAAAUGUCUUAAAAUGUGUAAACUCUUUUUCUAUUUAAUAAAAGCUUACCACGUACGUUCAGUUACAACAACGUAUUCAAAUAUAAUUACUAAAUGUAUCAAAAAGUUCAUCCAUUCACGCUAAAUGUAUCUGUUAAGUUAUUAUAAGUCCGUCCAUCCACACGUAUUUUCUGUUGAAGUGAUUUUUCUCUUCAAUAUAUGCAUUAAAAAUCACAUAUAAUAUAUACAUAUAUCUACUACUUUCAAAAAGAAAAUACUUAAAACCCCCAUCAAUGGUAGUAGAUAAAAUGAAAUAUUUUUGUUUUAUUAUAAUAAAUUGUGUACAAGUUGAAAAAUUAAGUAUCGUGUGUGUGUGUUAUUAACCCACCUGACACACCACAUCUAUAAAUAGAGGGAGAACUUUGCAGAAAAAUUAACAAAAGAAAGACCUAGACAUAAAAGUUUCCACUCUUGUGUCUUCUUCAUUCCAAGAAGAAAUCAAGAAAUGGAUCAUGGAGAAAUGAGCACUAAGGAAACUACCACUUUGAAGCUUAUACCCGGGUACGAAAAUGUGAUGGAGCUCGAGCAAAGAAGACAAGAGCUGAAGGUAAGUCUUUAUUUGAAUUGAUUCUAUAUUUUUAUAUACUUUUUUUUGUCUACAAGUAUUAAGAUUAUCGUUAAAAAUUAGGCUGUCGAGAAGAGGAUGGAAAAUGUUAUUGGAGAAAAAGAGAUUGACGAUCUAAACUUGACAGAAUUAAUUGAGUUCGAGAAGAAGCUUGAAGAUAUCCAAAGUCUACAGUUGAAGGUAAGUAGUGCUCAUUUUAUCACUCUUUAAAUUUAUUGUUUAUGUUUAUAAAAAUCUAUUUUUUAAUUGAUUUGUGUAGAAGUUGGAAAAGAUUCCUUGGAAAGACAUGAUACAGCCAGCCAAAGAUCUUGUAGUUCUGAACGAAUAUGUCAAGUUUAAGAUUGGAGAAAUGCAGGCUAGGAUUUCCAUGCCUCAAAACGACGAAUUUGAUAUUAAAAUGGAAGUAGGAAAAAAGGAAGAUUUGAAGGUAAAAUGUUGGUUAAUUUUUGUUUUUUCUUUUUAUAUGUCUACACAACAUUAAUUAUAACUUCUUAAAAAUAUAGGGUUUGAAAAUGAGGAUGAAAGUGUUCAUUGGAGAAAAGGAGUCUGAAGACAUACACUUGGAGGAAUUGAUUGAGUUCAGUAAAAAGCUUGAAGCUCUUCACCCAAAGGUUAGUAGUGUUUAACAUUUUUUUUCUUAUUAUAUAUGUUUAUUUUGGUCUGCAAAUUGUUUUCUAAGUUUCCCUUUUUAAUUUCGUGAAGAGCGUGAUGCAUUUGGACGACAUGACAGAAGAAAUUAAAGAUAUAUUCAUUAUGAAAGAAAUUGUGAAGAAAAUGAUCGCGAAGAGGGAUCCUAACUCGUCUAAAACGAUGAUCAUCCAGAAUUAUUUUUAAUUAGAAAUUAGUAACAUAUAAAUUCAUUAUCAUGGAUCAUAUAUGAUCACUUUGUCGCUUGUUUCUCCCAUUACAUAUUUACAGAAUAAUUUGGGAUUAUUUUAAUAUCAAUGGAAGGAACUUAUGUUGUUAUUUUAUAUUUUAAUCGGAUUUUCUCAUAAUUAAAAGAUAUUUUUUUCUAAUGGCUAUUGCAUAAAUUUCAUACUUUGGUUUUCAAAGUUUAUGUGUACAUCGACUACUAUGUUAAAUUUUGUUUUAUAUCAACUUAUUGUAAAUAAGUUAUAAAAACAUAUGAGAUGAUCGCCUAAAGGUUACAAAUUAUAAAACAUGGUGUGUCUUUAAAUGCGUCAAACAUAGGAUUAUGCAUUUUUACAAAAAAAAAAUGUUUGAAAUUUUUUGAGUCGUCGUUAAAUUGAUCCAAUGGAUAUAAAAAGAAUAACAUACAAAAGAGUUUGGUAAGAAAAAAUUUAGUUGCGGUUUUCGUCAAAAAGACAUAGAAAAUGUAAUAUAGCAAAGACUUUUGCCGAAGAACAACAACAACAUGGUAAUACAUUAUUACUGUCUUUAUGAAUUUCACAUACUGAACAAACAUCUAUAUAUGGAAGAAAGGGUUAACAAGAACGAAGAAAAAGAGCAAAUAGAAAUUAGACAUCCAAUAAUGAACUUAGUCCAUUUAUAUUCGUUUAUUGUGAUAACGAAAAUAUUUUGUUUUUAUAAAGUUAAAUUCUUAAUACUUCAUAAUCAUUUAGAGCCAUUAGCGAAGGUUAAGAUUUUUGUUGUUGUUGCUGUUGUGAUCGAAUCUUGGAUAACCUCUGUAACUAAUCAAUGGGGGUCCAAUAAACUGUAUCAAAACCGGAAUAAACCGAACAAAAUAGAUAUUUUAUUGUAGUAAUUAAAUGAAGUUACUGUACAGGCUUAAACCCUAACGGUCUAACCAACGCAAUAUUUAAUUUUGUUAUACUGACUAAACCUCGAAGUUAGUGCCUUUAUACGUUCGUUUACUAUUCCUUAAAGUGAUUCUUCUCAUUCCCUUUCUACUCGUUCAUUUCAAUCCAUGGUUAGGGUUCCACCUUUUAAACCCUCCAAAGAAGGUGAUCCAAAGUUGGAAACUUUCAAGGAUAAUCUUGAUUCCAUAGUCAGGUUUGGGAUUGGCGAAGAACUCAGAGUGAGCUCCACACCUCUUGAUGCUAUGGAGCAUCAAUCACCAGCGAAAGAUUUAGAAUCUGCUGUUGCUAAUCAAAGUGAUCUAAAGGGGAAAACUUCUAAGUAUCCUCUUCUUGACCUUUCUUUUAAAGAUUCUGUUGCUGGUUUUGAUUCCCUCGACUUGUUUUGGAGAACUCCGAACUUUGUGGGAUAUAUCGAGGAACCUCUUGAUAUUUAUUUGAGAGAUUCGUUCAAUUACGUCGGCUCUUUCCGUCAUGUUUCUGUGGCUGCUGAACCAUCCGUGAAAGAGUCAGAAUCGGUUGUUUCUGAGCCAUUUGUAUCUGAUUCGUCUAUUUCUUGUCACACGGAGGUGAAUAUGAGAGAUGAUCAUCAAAAACAUAAGGGUGAGAAGGCCAAAAAGAAAACUCUUAAUGAUGAAAUCGUGAGCCUAUCGUCUUGUAGAAGAGCUGAAGAGAAGAAGUGUGAUGAUGAAGAGGACAAAGAGGGCGUUGAUAAGAGUGUAGAUGAUAGUUUGAGUACAGAAGAAGCUACGAUGUCAAAGGUCAUUACUAAUAUCAUCUUCACCCUUUGCUCUGAUUUCACAAGUUUUGUUAAACAAUAUAUAUGAAAAUCUGUUUAAAUUUUGCAGGAGCUUGCUUCAGUUCCAUUUGUGAAUAUUGGUUCUUCGGUAUUGUUAAAAGUCUUUAUAAUUCUAUCUUAUGUACUAGUUUUGCUUCUUCUGUGUUGAUUUCUUAGCAAAUUUAUCUUCCUUGAAUCAGCAGGUGUUAGACAAAAAACAGCAGAAGAAUAUGGCAACAAAGAGAAGAAGUGACGAGACGAAAACGUGUAGCACAAGUAACAAGAAGAAUAAAAACGUAUUGGUGUCUCCUAGAAGAUUAGAAGCAGAAACAUGGCUGUCUCUUCCAUACCCAUAUCAUCAUUAUCCAAUAAAAUAUCAGAUUAUGCAGAGUUCGAUUCAGAUGCAGCAUUCCGGGAUUGGAACAGAGCCUUUAGUUACAUUUGUAGGUCAAAACCGUUUAAACCAACCCAUUGGAGGUAUUGUUGGUCUUAGUGAGUUUCCCCAAGUUAUUCAGGAGCUUUAUUCUCUUCCUAAUGCACCGCCACUUCCCAACCUCAAUCUCCAAAUACACCCACAGCCUCAUCUCGGUGGUAGAGUUCGAAAGGAGCAGCCUUGAUAGCUUAUUUGUUCUUGUUUUUGAUACAUGAUUUUGAAGUUUUAAAGGCAACUACUCUCGCAAAGGUUUUUCGAAAUUUUCUGAUAGAUUGUAUAUCCAUGUUUAGUUGGAUUAAAUAUCAAAGAUCUCUUACAGUUAGUUUCGUUCUUAAUCCAAACUACUGCAGCCUGACAGACAAAUGAGGAUGCAAACAAUUUUAAAGUUUAUCUAACGCUAGCUGUUUUGUUUCUUCUCUCUGGUGCACCAACGACGGCGUUUUCUCAAUCAUAAAGAGGCUUGUUUUACUUAAGGCCAAUAAUGUUGAUGGAUCGAAAGAAGAGGGCUUUUAAUAAACGAGCCCGUUUAAGCUGUAAACGAUGUCAAAAACAUCCCACAUCGUUCAGUUGAAAAUAGAAGCUCUGUUUAUAUAUUGGUAGAGUCGACUAAGAGAUUGUCCCUUCGGGGACAUCUGAUAAAAUUGGAACGAUACAGAGAAGAUUAGCAUGGCCCCUGCGCAAGGAUGACACGCAUAAAUCGAGAAAUGGUCCAAAUUUUUUUGGAUAGAAUUUCCCAGCUUUUUUGCGUGUUUCAGCUCUCAUGAUCCUUGGCCAAUGGGUGUAGUAAAUUUUCUGCACAUUCAUUGGAUGGAAAAUAAUGGUUUUAGCUUUAGGGAAUAAGAAAAGUGUAUAGGAAGGGGAUUUUUGUACAAUCACAUUUGAAUUAGGUCUUUGAAAUGACAGGGAAUGAGGACAUAUGAUGAAGCUCUGUCCCAUCCAAGAAGUUGGCCAGUGUUCUUGUCUCAGAUUGUGGUUUGGCCCUCACAUAAACAGCUUCAUAACCUUUUGGGUGGAGGGUUAACUUGAUUUUGCAGCAAAGAAGAGGCUUUUCCUUUAUGUAUUAGGUUGCUUGUGAAUUGGCCCUUGAGGAGAAGAACGUUAAUCUAAAAAUCUAUAUCAGUUAUUUUUACUCAACUAUAUGAAACGAUAUAUUCGAGAUUUAUGUAGUAAACACAUAAUCCAACCAUAAACUCAUGGGACAUUUAUAUGCCAAGCUUUAAUGGACAUGAUUGCAUAUAUUCUAAAUUAUUUAAACAAAACUUAUUUUAUUAUUAAAAGAUGACUGAAAAGAUGAAUGACAUAACUUCCUUCACCUCGAAUAACCAAAAUUGUUUGAUAAUUUUUUUAAGGAAAAAAAGAGCGACAAUAGAUAAGGGAUUAUAUCUUUUUAUUUGAAUAGUUCCGAAUAAUUUAGGCCAAAACUUAUUUGUUUUUCUGUAGGGAAGAUAACUCCACCCUCUUCUUCGAGAGACACUAUAGAGACAACGAAG